UGAGGGAAUAUUUGGGUCAAUGGCCGGAAGGCUGAACCAGCCAAGCCGCGUGAGGGAAGACUGCCCUAUGGGUUGUAAACCUCUUUUAUUCGGGAAGAAUAAGUUUCACGCGUGGAACGAUGCCUGUACCGAAUGAAUAAGCAUCGGCUAACUCCGUGCCAGCAGCCGCGGUAAUACGGAGGAUGCGAGCGUUAUCCGUAUUUAUUGGGUUUAAAGGGUGCGUAGGCGGUUGAUUAAGUUAGUGGUAAAUGUCAUGGCUAAACCUUGGCCAGCCAUUAAUACUGGUCAGCUUGAGUACAGACGAGGUAGGCGGAAUAAGUUAAGUAGCGGUGAAAUGCUUAGAUAUAACUUAGAACUCCGAUAGCGAAGGCAGCUUACCAGGCUGUGACUGACGCUGAAGCACGAGAGCGUGGGUAGCGAACAGGAUUAGAUACCCUGGUAGU
Molecule: ribosomal RNA, 443 nt
Filed under: uncultured Odoribacter sp.
Lineage: Bacteria; Pseudomonadati; Bacteroidota; Bacteroidia; Bacteroidales; Odoribacteraceae
Description: bacterial SSU rRNA
Rfam family: Bacterial small subunit ribosomal RNA
Source: RNAcentral